GUGCCAAUAGCCCAGGUCUUUUCACUGCAAAGCUCCACCUUCCAUGUGGAGUCUGACCUGUCAUUUUCACAGCUGCGCCUCCCACUCCCGACUCGUACCCCUCUGGCAGCUAGAGCCAGCAGGAGGAGGAAGCAGCACCAGAAAUCCUCCUGCAGGUGGGAGUGGCCAGUUAAAGAGCAGUGAAAAUUUACUCGAGAUGCAUCAGUAAUAUUUCCAGACCACCAAGCUUCCCGAAGAAAGCAUUGAGUGCCAAAGUUUGCUUCCAUUUAUGUGAAUGCUAAAUUCUGCUAUUAUACAUGCCAGUGGCCAAAGAACCAGGUUGUAAAAGAGUAAUUAAGAAUGCCAUUUCCCCAAAUUAUAAAACAUUAGAAUUACACUCUUCUGAGGAGCUGGAUGUCUGGCAGAGACAGAACUGGACCCAACUUGUACUCAGCAAACCUAAGAACAAGAUCAUCCUUUCUCCUCCUUAAGUUCCCAUUUUUUGUUUUCCACAUAACUUCCAAAUUCUAUCAAACAUAAGGCAAGAUUUGUACAGACAACAGUUUCAUUCACUAGAGGCCUAACAGUCUACACUAGAGGCCUAACAGUCUAUCCUGUGCACUGAAUGACUCAGUAUCCUGUGGAAAAAAUAGUAUAUGCUUAUGUUAUUAAAGGCUGUAACUAUACUCAACGUUUAGCAGCAGAAUUGAAGCCUUAACUCUAGAAUUUCCUAAUACUUUUGGAUAAGGUCGGAUAAUAGUCCGAACUAUAGUUAAUAAUACAGUCCGAACUGUAGUUAAUAAUAGUCACUACAAGGGUUUUCAUGUUUAUUUCCACAGUUUUUAUGUUACAGAGAAG
RNAcentral lists this long non-coding RNA (837 nucleotides) under Struthio camelus australis. RNAcentral describes it as "lncRNA (ENSSCUG00000011408.1)". The record is from RNAcentral. Lineage: Eukaryota; Metazoa; Chordata; Aves; Struthioniformes; Struthionidae.